AGUGAACGCUGGCGGUAGGCCUAACACAUGCAAGUCGAACGGCAGCACAGUAAGAACUUGCUCUUACGGGUGGCGAGUGGCGGACGGGUGAGGAAUACAUCGGAAUCUACUUUUUCGUGGGGGAUAACGUAGGGAAACUUACGCUAAUACCGCAUACGAUCUACGGGGGAAAGCAGGGGAUCUUCGGACCUUGCGCGAUUGAAUGAGCCGAUGUCGGAUUAGCUAGUUGGGGGGGUAAAGGCCCACCAAGGCGACGAUCCGUAGCUGGUCUGAGAGGAUGAUCAGCCACACUGGAACUGAGACACGGUCCAGACUCCUACGGGAGGCAGCAGUGGGGAAUAUUGGACAAUGGGCGCAAGCCUGAUCCAGCCAUACCGCGUGGGUGAAGAAGGCCUUCGGGUUGUAAAGCCCUUUUGUUGGGAAAGAAAAGCAGCAGGUUAAUACCCCGCUGUUCUGACGGUACCCAAAGAAUAAGCACCGGCUAACUUCGUG
RNAcentral lists this ribosomal RNA (492 nucleotides) under uncultured bacterium. RNAcentral describes it as "partial 16S ribosomal RNA". It matches the Rfam family "Bacterial small subunit ribosomal RNA", at positions 29 to 507 of the family's 1533-position model. The record is from RNAcentral.